Molecule: ribosomal RNA, 486 nt
Filed under: uncultured bacterium
Lineage: Bacteria
Description: bacterial SSU rRNA
Rfam family: Bacterial small subunit ribosomal RNA
Source: RNAcentral
AACGAACGCUGGCGGCGCGCCUAAUACAUGCAAGUCGAGCGAGAAGGUGUAGCAAUACACUUGUAAAGCGGCGAACGGGUGAGGAAUACAUGGGUAAUCUACCAUCGAGUGGGGAAUAACCAACCGAAAGGUUGGCUAAUACCGCGUACGCCUCCGAGUCUUCGGGUUCGGAGGGAAAGCUGCACUGUGAGUGUAGCGCUCUUUGAUGAGCUCAUGUCCUAUCAGCUUGUUGGUAGGGUAACGGCCUACCAAGGCUUUGACGGGUAGCUGGUCUGAGAGGACGAUCAGCCACACUGGCACUGCGACACGGGCCAGACUCCUACGGGAGGCAGCAGUAAGGAAUAUUGCGCAAUGGGCGAAAGCCUGACGCAGCGACGCCGCGUGGGGGAUGAAGGUCUUCGGAUUGUAAACCUCUUUCAGCAGGGACGAAGCGAAAGUGACUGUACCUGCAUAAGAAGCACCGGCUAACUACGUGCCAGCAGCCGC